GGGGGUCCAGCCCUGCUUAAACUUGCCAUGAGAAGUCAAAGGUCAUUCCAGAAGCUGCUUGCUGUGUGAAUAUUUCAGUGCCGGAGGUCUCGGGACCCCCGGAGGCUGAGUGGUCCGUGAGAGUGCCUGUCUCUCCUGCAGUGCUGAAUGUAGGACACCAUGCUUGGAGCUCUGUAACCCUGUCAUUUGGAAGCUGUACAGCUGUUGUACUUUCAUGGCUUUCAUGGCUUCAUGAGAUCUGUUUCCUGGAGAACUUGGGACUUUUCACAGUGGAAGUAUUGGAUUGGAUUAUUCCUAACAUAAUAUAGUGUCUUUUUUCUGGUUUUGCUGGUCAGAGUCCAGAUUUAAACCAUGUAAAGAAAAAUUGGUCUCACAUUAAACUCAAACUAGCUCUGCAGUGUUUUCCAGCUGUAUGAUGCCGUCAGUGCUGAGUAGAUCAAUAUCGACUCUUCUUUCUGUAAAAGACUGUCUGCAGUUUUACACACUAAACACCUAAAGAAUCAAAGUGAAAAACUCUUCCAUUUUGAAGUUACUUUAUUGUUUAGCCAUUUUUUGGGAUACAUUUAUAAAUAUAUCACUGUUGUCAGACCAAAACCUUCUAUCUCCAAAUUGAGAACUUUACAGGAGAAGGAAAAAACAUACUUCACUUUUAAUCUAAGUCAGUUGAACCAGACAAGUCCUUUUGGGAAAUUUCUUUUGUUCCUUUCAUCAUGAAAUUUACACACAACAUAUAGGACCAUGGGUAUUUUCACAUUAUGUCAAAAACUGAAAAACGAUAAAAAUGGAGAUACGAGUUUUUCUUCUGACAGCAGCGAUAAGACCUCAUGUUAUAAGAAGCCCAUUUUAUUCAAACAUCGCUGUCACAAUAAAGCACAUUUCCUGCCAUGAAAUAUGGUUUAAUACAAUGUUAGCACCAUGCUACCAACAUUGUACUUUCACUCUCCAACAAAAGGCUGAGCUUCAGUCAUAUCAGUCAGUAGGGCACUGUUUAUUUACAAUAAAAUAACUAUUAAUGAUAGAAUUUCACUAGCUUGCUUGUUUUGCUGUGCUAAUGAUUGUACUCCAGACAGCGGAGUUUAAGCCUGUUAAACGCCACUAUAUCAAAAAAUCACCCCUACAACAUGGAUGAAGUGUCAGGAUGUUUUCCACUAUGGAAAAAUGAGAGAUCAGAGAGGCUGACACUGUACGAGCUCUUUCACUCAUAGCUGGGAUCUCUAGGAAAGUGAAACUCCAUCCCUUUUCUGACCUGAAGGAGUUCUUCCACAUUUAACUCAGUUUGAGCUGCUGUUGGAGAUUCUUGCUGCUCUGUCAUCUUGCCAACGGUAGCAGUAAUCAUGAUUGGUCAGUGACUCUUUUUGGCUCUAGUGAAUAUUCACAAAAAUUUAACAUAGAGUGAAUAAAGUAAUGUUGCACUUUCACUGCCUGUACAAGAUAUCAUCAGCAACACAUGGUCAUCUGAAUAAAUCAAACAAAUAUAUCAGCGUGGAACAGCCUGUACAGUUCUCCGUAAAUGCUUUGUAAUUAUAAACAAACUAGUGUAAAUGCAGACCACAUUGUGAAAAAAAAUAAUAAUUGUCUGGACUUAAAACUGAUGCUGUAGGGCAACUAAUUAUGUCUGGAUCUCAUCACUGGGAGACCAUGCGUUUGAUUCCCAGUGAUGCCACAGCCAUCCAUAACCAGCUGCUCCCCAGUUUCAGUCUCCAUUUCCCAAACUCUUUAGCCGAGCGCGCUAAUGUUACUCCUCCUAAUAAACAGAUGCGUGUUCAGCUCCGCCUCCUCUUUAUUCACCACCGUCAAUGUAAUAUUUCAUCAUUAACACAGAAAGUUAAAAAUUCUGUUUGCUGUACCGUCAGCUUGGUUGUUGUCAUGCCAACAACACAGUCAGUGUGAUAAAAGUUUGCAAAAAUGAAACAGGGCGAGAAAAACAACGUCACAUUUUCGUCAUCCGUGCAAGAUAUCAUCAGCUACACGUGAUUGAAUUAGUUUACUGUCGUCCGAAUGAAUCGCACAAGCAAAUCGGCAUGUAGCUCCUUUACGGUUCUGCGUUUCUCGUAACUGUUUAGAGAUCACGUAUAUCUCUAUGAGAAUAAUCACGAACAAACAGGCGCAAGCUCGGACCACGUUGUGAAAAACGGCCCAGACACUCCAGGAAACAGAGUUUGGGAUGUGAAAACACUUCGAGUCACCUUUUUGUACAGUUCACUGUGGGUAGCGUGUGUGUCCUGCUGUGUCGUGUUAGCCUCUGCACGCACACGCGCACACACACACUCAUCCCGCGGUUUCAGAGACGGUGGACUGUGGAACAGAACGAACAGAAGAACCGGCUCACGAAGAGAACGAGGCUCAUUCUGAUUCUGUUCAGACUGAAUUCUGGCUCAGGAUGAAAUGGAUUGAAAACUGGACUAGAUGACUGAACACUAGUGGAACUACAGAGAGAGAAAUAUAUAUAAAUAUAUAUUAAAGUUAUAUACAUUGUAUUUGAAAUUCACUCAGUAAGCCUGUGUAAAUACAAAUGUAUCACUUCUCGUCUUCUCAGAUAUUACAGACAAAUGUUACCAUAUAUUUUUGAUUAAGCCAGUUACCACGGUUACGAAAUCAGUGCUGCGUCUGAAUCUGGGUUUGCAGUGGAUGAUUUGGGAGUUGAAAUCGGUGAAGAGGAAGAUUUUUAUCAUUUGAUUUUUUUAGAUUCUUAUAUCAUGUCUUAAUGGUUUGGGCUUUAAAUGUUUGGACAUUGUUAUUGUAUGUGUUUUCUAUACUGUACAUGCCAAGAUAAACCCAUAAAUCACAUAUAAACUAUCUACCAAUGACAAA
Pygocentrus nattereri (red-bellied piranha) is the source of this 2811-nucleotide long non-coding RNA. RefSeq lists it as uncharacterized. The transcript has 2 exons. The record is from RefSeq and is a predicted model, not a curated record. NCBI's taxonomy places the organism in Eukaryota, Metazoa, Chordata, Actinopteri, Characiformes, Serrasalmidae.